AAAAUAUGAACAGAUACAGCUUCAUGCUUUCAGGAAACCACCUUCUCUUCCAUCUUCUCCUUUGGCCUGCUCAGACAGCCAGACUUCUUAAACAUAUUUUUCCUACAGGCUCAUGCAAAUUAAGGGAUGUGGCUGAGCAUCUCCUUCAGUGCCCUCAAACAGGUCAUGAAUGUUGCAAAGCCCAGAAUCGUGCUAACCUGGUAGAAGGCUGGUUUAGCCAGAACACACAGAGAGGACCUUCUCAUGAUGGUGUGGCUGAAUUCCACAUGUCACUAACAGUAUCUUGCCCUGACCCGACUCCAAGUACUGAUCCCCAAGGAAGGCAUAAUAGAGAGCCCAUCUUGGGGAGGGAUGAUGACUUCAUGUGCAAACAAGUCAAAUUCAGGAUGUGUGUUGUGGGCAGAGAUGGCAAUGCCCAGUCAUCUGUUAGGUAUACAGGUCCGCUGUACAGGAGAAAAAUCAGAACAGAAUUUCUAUUUGUAGUGUUUCUUUUAGAGACUAGGGAAUUGAAACCACAGGUGAAUAAGAAUGUACAAGGAACCAGGCCUUCUUGAAGAAAUAGCUGAACCAGAUUGGUGUCAGGAGCUGUACAAGGGGAUCCAAGAAUGUCUUGUCAUACAAGCCGGACAGCUAUUAAAGACAACUGAGGUCAUGGCAAAAGGGCCCAGGCUUCUACUGGCCAACAAUGAGACAAUUUGAGCAUCCCAAAGAAUAAUGACUUUAGUGGACUGAAACACAUCAACAUGUAUACAUCCAUGAAUUCAUAAUACUCAAAACGGUAAAACCAAACUCAUUUGUUACCUUUGGAGGAGUCUGUCACCUCUGAUUAUUCUGAAAACUGGUAAAUAGAAGGGGAAAAUUCAAGCAUUUAUUCUGCUUUUCUUGUAUAAACUGUACCUCACAGUUACGGAAGAGCUGAUAAGGGAAAUGUCUUCUUUAUUGAAAAAUUCAGCUGAUACAUUUGGAAGGAAUGAGAGAAUUACAGUACCACCAUUAGGUGACAAUGAGGGUCUGGUUUUUUAUUUUUCUUUUGCUGAGUGCUGGGAACAUAGUGAUAACAAAAAAAGCCAUAGUGUUCUGGCCCUUCUGGAGUUUUGAUUCUAGCACAUUAACCAAAUAAUCCCAGAGCAAAAAUAAAAUGUCAACUAUGGUAAGUGUAGAGAAGGGAAAAUACACAGAACUUUUAACAGCUUAGAUCCGAGGAAGCUGACCAGCCUGCAAAAAGGGACAGCUUCCCUAGGGAAGUGACUUUGCAGCUGUGAUGAUGGAUGACUAAGAGUUAACCAAGGAAUGGGAGGAGGGAGGAGGAGACAGAGAAGGCUUUCCAAGCAGAAGCCAGAGCAUGUGCAAAGAUCCUGUGGCAAGAAGGAGCCUGGUGCAGGGGAGGAACGAAGAGACAUGCAAGCUGGCUGGAGUGCAGAGAGGGAGACAGGCAGGCAGGCAGGUGGUUGGAUGGGGAGGCAAGGAUCAGAUCCUGAGUCCCUUGGAGAAGCAGGAAGGCAUCAUGAUGACUAAUGUCAGAGGCAGGGGAGGACAGGUAGGGAUAGACAGGGAAGCAGUGCUGGGAAGAUGCUAAAAUGCUGCAGUUUGUGCUUGGAAAGAUCAUGGCCUGGUUCUUCCAUUGUCAUGAUGGGUUGUUCUCUUUCUUAUUGUUUUUCUAAUUUGUCUUGACUAAUGGAGAAGAUCAGGAGCUCAAAAAUAGAGGUUGUUUACAGCACUCAGUUUGGCUGCUAUAGGUUAAUGGGCUUAGACUCUUUAAGGGGAUUAGGCUUUUGCUCAGAGACCAGUGGAGUAUUCUAGCCAGGCUGUCUUGUGAAGGUGGUAUGUUAAGAACUAGGUUUGUCUGAUUUCUCAAAUUAAAAUGUGGUACAUCAAAUUAAAUUUGAAUUUCAGAUAAAUAACAACUAAUUUCAGAUGUGUCAGAUAAAGAAUGGAUAUGGCUCUAGUACAAUAUGGGAUAAUGAAUAUUUUCAGAUAAAUAGAUGCCCUGUAUUCUGUGUAGCAAGCAUAACUAGAGAAUCAAUGUUAGUGCUCAAACUAAGAAGACUUUUGAGAAAUUAUCAGAGGUAAAUACAAAUAUACAUUUCCAUCCAUCCAUCCAUCCAUCCAUCCAUCCAUCCAUCCAUCCAUCCAUCCAUCCCUGUUGAGCUCCAACUAUGUGUCAGGCACUUCUGGGGGGUUGAGGGUAUUGUGAUCAGUAAGACAAACUCUCUGCCUUUAUAGUGUUUACAUUCUAGGAGAAAAAUAUUCAUCUUAGAGAGAUUAUAAAAAACAAAUCUUCCGAAAUAGUAUCUGUUACGUCCAAAAUAGAGGAAUGUAUAAAUAAAUGUUAAUAUGAUGGACUAACACGCAGCCAUUACAAAAAUCCUGUUUUGAAGGCUAUUAAAUGUCAUGGUGAAUUGAUUCCAAUAUAAAACCAAAUGAAAUAAAAGCAGUUCACAAAACCA
Long non-coding RNA from Homo sapiens (human), 2447 nucleotides. Ensembl annotates it as long intergenic non-protein coding RNA 2656. The record is from Ensembl. NCBI's taxonomy places the organism in Eukaryota, Metazoa, Chordata, Mammalia, Primates, Hominidae.